RNAcentral lists this ribosomal RNA (396 nucleotides) under uncultured bacterium. Its description in RNAcentral is "bacterial SSU rRNA". It matches the Rfam family "Bacterial small subunit ribosomal RNA", at positions 358 to 771 of the family's 1533-position model. The record is from RNAcentral.
GGAAUAUUGGACAAUGGGGGAAACCCUGAUCCAGCAAUGCCGCGUGAGUGGAGAAGGCCUUAGGGUUGUAAAGCUCUUUCAGCGGGGAAGAUGAUGAAGGUACCCGCAGAAGAAGCCCCGGCUAACUCCGUGCCAGCAGCCGCGGUAAUACGGAGGGGGCUAGCGUUGUUCGGAAUUACUGGGCGUAAAGCGCACGUAGGCGGUCGCGCAUGUCAGAUGUGAAAGCCCCGGGCUUAACCUGGGAAUUGCAUUUGAAACUGCGCAGCUAGAGGCCGGAAGAGGGUAGUGGAAUUCCCAGUGUAGAGGUGAAAUUCGUAGAUAUUGGGAAGAACACCGGUGGCGAAGGAGGCUACCUGGUCCGGUUCUGACGCUCAGGUGCGACAGCGUGGGGAGCAA